RNAcentral lists this ribosomal RNA (505 nucleotides) under uncultured archaeon. RNAcentral describes it as "bacterial SSU rRNA". It matches the Rfam family "Archaeal small subunit ribosomal RNA", at positions 364 to 870 of the family's 1478-position model. The record is from RNAcentral.
AGUGUGAUAAGGGGAUCCUAAGUGCUCAUACAAUGCAUAGGCUUUUGCCAAGAGUAAAUAUCUUGGCGAAUAAGUGGUGGGUAAGACUGGUGCCAGCCGCCGCGGUAACACCAGCGCCACGAGUGGCAACCACGUUUAUUGGGCCUAAAGCGUCCGUAGCCGGUUUGGUAAAUCUUUUGUGAAAUCGUCGGGCUCAACCUGACGGCGUGCAGGAGACACUGCUAAACUUGAGACCGGGAGGAGUCAGAGGUAUUCCAGGGGGAGCGGUAAAAUGUGAUAAUCCCUGGAGGACCACCUGUGGCGAAGGCAUCUGACCAGAACGGAUCUGACGGUGAGGGACGAAAGCUAGGGGAGCGAUCCGGAUUAGAUACCCGAGUAGUCCUAGCAGUAAACGCUGCGAGCAAGGUGUUGCAUAUUCUACGAGAAUGUGCAGUGUCGAAGAGAAGKCGUUAAGCUCGCCGCCUGGGAAGUACGGUCGCAAGACUGAAACUUUAAGGAAUUGGCG